This is a non-coding RNA of Phascolarctos cinereus (koala), 2067 nucleotides long. Lineage: Eukaryota; Metazoa; Chordata; Mammalia; Diprotodontia; Phascolarctidae. The record is from RefSeq and is a predicted model, not a curated record.
GGCGUACCAGUGCUCCGCCUCUUGUCUCUUUCUUUUCAUCCCGCGCUAAGCACGGUGCCUGGCGUACAGGAGAUUCUCAGUGAAUGUUUGUUGACUGACUCACUGUGGAGCCCAUCUCUGAGGCCAGAAGGGACCCACCCCUGGAUGAGAGGUGGCUGAUGGGGGCUGGGUGGCCAGGCCAAGACCCAGAAUCAUGGAGCAGCUGUUAGCGAGACCUGGUGCCCUAUCCGCUGUGCCACCUUGCUGCCCCUUAGAAGGAUUACUUGGGCAUACAUGUGAAGCCUGUAUUGCUGAAGGUAAGAGUAGAGACAGAAAGAUGCUUUGGAAUGAUAUUAAUGAUAGUUCAGGUGAGGGGAUGUGGUGACCAGUUCAAUCUUUGAUCCCCUUAAGGCUUCCUCAGAGAUCUCUAGUUCUGCUUCCUGUGGCUCUCGUUUUGAUGCAGGCAUUCAUUGCCUCUUGCCUGAGUAACAGAGGGCACCACCAUAUCCUCUAGUCUCCCAUUCAGCCAUCUACCCUCUACGUGUUGCCGGAUCCAUCUUCCUAAAACACCCUUACAUCACGAUGGUCAGUGCCUAACACCUCAAGGCCAGCUCCUCAGCCUGGCAUUCAGAGCCCUUCCUAAGCUGGCCCCACCUUAUCUUUUGCCCUUCUCCCUUCUUCCUCAAGUUGACAGCCCUCCGUGGACAGGCUUGACUCAUGGUUCUCCCACCACCCAUACCUGGCUUUUGUGCAUGCUGGUCCCCAGCCUGCCGCGGAUAUAGAAUGUCAAAGCUGGGAGAGGCCUUGACAAUUCUUGAAUUGGAAUCUUUCAUUUUACAGCUGGGGAAACUGAGAGUCAUAGAAAGAAAGGAAUAUCCUAGCCAAUACUGCUCUCUCCUCCUUGUGAAUUCCUAUAUCCCACAAAACUCAUUUGGCAUUUAGCACUCUGCUUUUCAUCCUAAGUGAUCUUUUACUAACUAGGAAGUAAUCAAUCAAAAGCAUUUAUUAAGCACCUGCUGUGUUCUAGUCACUGUGCUAGCCCUGGGGAUACAAAUACAAAAGAAAUAAUAAAAGACAACAUGUCCAUAUAUAAGUUAUACUGAAUUACAAGGCAGUUAGAGAGAGCACUGCCAGCUGUGGGACUCAGGAAAGGCUUAGUUCAAAAAGUGGUGCUUAAGCUGGGUCUUGAAAGAAGAGAGGGAUUCUGUGAAGUGGAGGCAAGGAGGGAGGGCAUUCCAGGCAUUGAAGAUGCAAAGGCAAGGAGGUAGGAGAUUGGUGUUAUAUGUGGAGGACAGAAACAGACAAUGUCUGUUCUUUUCCUAGUAUCCCCACCAUGGUUCUAGGCACUGGGUCAGACCUGGAGGAUCAUGGGAUUUAGAGCAGGAGGGAAUCUGAGAGAUUAUCUAAUCAAACUGCUUCACUUUAUAGACAGGCACAGAGAGGUAAAGGAUUUACCCAAGGUCACACAGGUAGAAAGUAGCAGAGCUGGGACUUGAAUCCCUGCAAAUCAGGCGUUCUUUCCACUCAAUCAUCUGCCUUAUCUAGAUUUUCAGUAAAAACUUGUUGAUUGGUCAAAAACACACCUGACAUUUGACUAAGUCCUUUAUUCCACAUGAUCUCCGGGAUCCUUAUACUAGACCUUAUACUAGAGAUGGGUAGGACUUUUUAUCCUUAAUUUGCAUAUGAGGAAACUGAGGCCCAGUGGGUAAAAUGAAUAAGCCCUCAAAAUGCGUAAGCAGCCACAGGUUACAUUGAUGGGGGCUUGGACCCAGAAUGAGAAAGUGUCCUUUCCCGAGAAAGUGUCCUUUCCCAAGAAAGUGACAGAAGACUGGGCUGAAACUUAAGAGCCUGUUUAGUUCCUGCCCAGCCCACGUGUGGGGCUUCUUCCUUUUGGCCCCUGUGCAUACCACAGGAAGCUUGUCCAUCAUUCCUUAUCAUUCUAGCCACCUUCUGAGUUGAUGUCUCCACCUUGGACAUUCGUAUGUCUGUGUCUGCCUGUAUGAUAGACUCUGUUGCUGAGUGGGCUCCUUGAAAGCAGGGCCCAGGGUCUGUGAUUUGCUGUGUUCUCCAAUGUCUUCCUCUGACCAC